This is an RNA transcript of Scylla paramamosain (green mud crab), 6106 nucleotides long. RefSeq lists it as uncharacterized. NCBI's taxonomy places the organism in Eukaryota, Metazoa, Arthropoda, Malacostraca, Decapoda, Portunidae. The record is from RefSeq and is a predicted model, not a curated record. The transcript is spliced from 7 exons.
UGACGUGCUUUGUUUCUCCUGCAGGAGCUGAGAUGGUGGCAAGCCCUCAGAGCAGUACAGGGCCUCGCAUCACUGGGAUCUUGGAUGCUGCUACUGCUUCUACUGCUGCUGCCGCCACCACAGACUGCCGCCCUGUCCUCAGCGGAGAGCCAAGGUGAGUCUCCGCUCACUGCAGCAGAGGAGGUGUCGUCCGUGUAAGUCUUGUGGAGGGAAGAGCAUGGUUACAAUAGCAGCUGUGUCCAGGACGACUCUCCUCUCCAGCCGACGAUUUCCUUCUCUUCCUGUCACCGUAACAGAAGCGCCUCUGGAGAACCCGAGUCCGACAGGUGUUCCAGGCCAACGUUGACUCGCCCCAGACAAGGCACAACUACGUGGAACCGCCCGUGCUGGGUCGGUUUGUGAGGUUGCACGUACUGGAAUGGCACUCACAACCCUCCAUGCGCUUUGAGCUGCUCGGCUGUCAGGCCCUUUUGGUGUUCCACGUGCCGAGCGAAUCCGGGGAGAAGGUGACUCAGGGCAUCUCGGCGCUGCUCUCCAUGACUGUCUUCCUCAUGACCAUCAGAGUCCCUGCCGCCAGCUGAGGAGACACCGCUCGUCAGCCCUGUGUGAGACGAGAUGAAAGAAAGUUGCCGAACCUUCCUGCCAGCGAGCGAUCCGGCACUGUGCUUCAUAUUUUUUGCUCCUCACUGCUGACGCGCUGCGCCUUGGAACUUCACCCAACUAUCGCGCUUUGCUGACUUCCUCACCCAAGUGCUGUGCGGGAGAGAGCAGCGUGGGAGGAGUAAUAGCGGAGAUACAAGCAAAAAGAGGUGAGGAGCUGCAGCAGCAUUUCCAGCAGCAGCAGCAGCAGCAGCAUGGCAGAGCAGAGGCCCGGGGUGGGAGGCAGAAGGCAGUGUGCUCGUCAAGUUUGUCACCACGGAGAACCAAUACACAGUGGUGGGCACCUCAGUGCUGGUGGGAGUGAACAGCAACCUUGCUAGUCUGAAUGAAAUUGUCCACGUGUUCAUGAGAUGAGACCGUCACCACGAGCUGCCCUGCCUCAUUACGCUCUCUUCACCUUUUUGAGUUUUGUUGGACAUGUAUGCAAGGGAAGAAUGUUAGAGGAUAGGCACAAUUUUAGUUGUAUAAGGUAUGCAAGGGAAGUUUGUUAGAGGAUAGGCACAAUUUUAGUUGUAUGAAGGUGUGUCUUACCUCAAGGAAUAAUUGCAUCACACUAAGGAACGCAGUGAAUCUUUCGUGUCGCCAAGUUUGGUGUGUGACCCACUGCGAGUUUGUUUUGGUACAUGCAACAUAAGCGUUGUCAGGUAAUUUCUUCCUGAUUGGUGUUAUUUUGUGUGAAUUACCAUUAAGUGCUACCUGUUUUACAUUGUUACCUUGCAAAAGAGAGUUGUUUUUGUGGUGUAGAAGUGGUCAUCACUGUUUACAUGUGUUAAGAUGUUUGAGGUAUUAUUUAAGGGCCACUGUCCCAAAGCUUAACCUUCACCUAAUAAGAUGCAGGCUCAUUUUUUGACUCUUAUUUUGGAAAAGAGGUGCAUUUCAUAAGCCAUCAUAUAUGGUACAUACACCCACCCUUGGGGAACCACACUUAAUAUCGGGCUCCACACUGAUGUCUGGUCCCUUACUACCAUUCACAUUCUCUCUCUCUCUCUCUCUCUCUCUCUCUCUCUCUCUCUCUCUCUCCAUUGUCUUUCAUACAUCACUUACCUUCUCCAGUUUCCAUAGAAGUCUUUUAAGUGGUACCUUAUUAAAAGUUUUUCUUCAGUCUAGGUAAAUGCAGCCUGCCCAACCAUCUUUCCCUCUCUCUCCUGUAUUAUAUCAAACACUCUUGAAUAAUAACACAACAGAUUGGUGAGACAAGAUCUCUCCUUGCUAAAACUAAAUUGACAACUUGUUAAAAAUUUUAUCUUCCAAAAAUUUGGUCCAUAUUUUUUAUUUUUAUUUAUUUAUUUAUUUUUUUUUUUAUCCUUUCCUUUUAUUAUCCUUUUUGGUACCACACUCAUCAGGAAAACUGGUUUGUAAUUUAGUGGGUCUUGUGUGUCUCCUUUAAAUAUGGGCAUGAGGUUAGCUCUUCCAAUCCUGUGGAUCUAAUAGAGGUACACUUGAUGGAAUGUAUUUUAUUUUUAUGCUGGUUACUGCACUCUUUCAAUACCCAUCCUGACACUCCAUCCAGUUCUAGAUCUUUCUUACAACUAAAGUUUUGAUGGUUUCAUUAAUUUCCUGUAUUGUUACUUGAAAUUCCUCCAUUUUUCUCUUUUCCUGUACAUGCAGUGACCUUAUGAAUUCCUUUUCCUUUGUAAAAACUUCCUUGAAGCUCUUAUUUUUCCCUUCCGUCAUCUCCUUGGGGUCCUUGUAUACCACUCCAUCCAUCCUUAGUUUUUCUAUGCUCACUCCCUUUGCUUUUCAGUUUACCAUUGACAUGUCUGUAGAAGAGUUCAGGCUGAUGCUUACACCUGUCUAUUACAGUAAAAUCCCUCUCAUCCGGCAUUCGAGUAUCUGGCAUCUUCAAGUAUCCGGCACAUUUUUCCCCGAGCCUUAAAAUCAAUAAAAAAAUCAAUGUGUACUCAUAAAUCAAUUAAAAUUCCCGCGCGAGGCAUACUUUGUCCCCUCGCCACCAGAGCGCACUGCUUCACACCACCCGCGGCCCACUGCACUGUGUUUACUCAGUGACUCAGUCCCUCGUGUGCACUGUUUAUCGCCUGACACCUUCAUCAUACCUAAAGUUGUAGAAAAGAGGAAGCGUGUCGUGCUUACACUUAAGCAGCUGAUCAGAUCAGUUGCUGAUUAAGACCAGCUGAUCUUUGUUAUGGUAAGAUGCGUGAGUGUAGGGUGAUGAUUGUGGACAUAAUUUCACUUCUAUUCAAGUAUCCGGCAAUAUUCAAGUAUCCGGCAUGUCGGCGGUCCCGUUGAUGCCGGAUAAGAGGGAUUUUACUGUAUAUCUUUUUCAAAACUGCCUUAGUUCAUCUCUCUGGAUUUUCAUGUAAUCAUAUCUUGCUUGUUUGUAAUUAUUCCAUAAGUUAAUUCUUAUAUUUUUCCUCCACUUUUUCCUUGAAUCAUCUUUUAUCCUCCUUGCUACUUCACAUCUUUUUUAUCAAACCACUCUUACCAACUUUUUGUCUGCCAUUUAGACACAAACUUCUUUUCUCCUCAGUAUAUUUUAAGAAACUUGUGCCACUUUCUUGGACCCCUGUGGCCUUAUGGAACACAUCCCAUCUCUCUUCUUGAAAAACUUCAUGUUGUCAAAGUCUGCCCCACUGUAGUUUAAUCUCCAAGCUUGGUGUUCUUCAUUCCAUUUACCCUCUAUUUCCUCAUUUAUGUUGAAUUCCAUGGUAGCACAGUCAUUUUUGGCUAUCAGAUGCUCUCUCUGAACACUCAAUUCCUUGUGGUUCCUUUGCUAAAUACAUUUAGUCUCAAUGUUUUUCCAUCUUUUCCAAAUCUUGUAUCACUUUUAUCCAUUGUGUUAAUACAUUGUCCAUUGCCAGCUGUAAUUAUUUAUUCCCCCAAGAUGACUCUGUUCCCUGAGUGCAUCACUCUUCCCAGCACACCUCCUUACACAAGUCUCCAUCCAUAACCACUUUAUCACCACUUGGUAUUUUCUCUUGCCAGUUCUUUGUGUCUUUUAUCAUUGCUUCACAUUCUUCACUUGACCAGGCAUUGGUUGUGGGUGGUAUGUCAGUCACCAUGAAUUGUCUCUUUCUGCCUUGUAUAAUUUCCAUUCCAGUUUUUAAUGCCUCUGCCAGUCCAUUGCCACAUUCUUUUUCAACCACUGUCAAGCUUUUCUUAGCUAAAAACAUCACUGCUCCUCCCUUCUUUAUUUUUUCUGCCUCUUUUUCAUAACUUGUAUCUAUUUUGUCCAAUGUUCUGUAGAUCUAACUCAUCACAUAAUUUUCACUUUUGUUUUUUUCUGCCACUGACCCAUCACUCGGCACAAAGUUAACCUUGAUUCACCUCUGUUUUCCCCUUUUACUUUUCUCUUCCUCUCUACUUUUAACAUCACUUCUACCUUUUCUUACUGUUUCAUGAUGGAGACUCAAGCUCUCCAUGCUUCAACUGGCUCACCAGAGUCAUGGAGCUGCUACCCUUAUGUCCUCCCACCUUGGCUGCACAUGUUUGUAUGUGUGUGUGUUUGUGUUUGUGUGUGUGUACUGUUUACAUUCAGUAUAACCAAAAAGUUGGGUCAUAGGUCACAUCUGCAGCACAGUAUGGUGUUUUAGACAGGAGGGAGGCCCCUAGGCAAUAAUCUCAGUGAGCCGUGAACUCUCAGGUGACGCACUGCACACACCCAGCAUCAUGAAUUUCUAGUACAAAGCUGUUCAAGCAUACUGGUGCAACAUAUGCCUAGCCAGAUACUAUUGAUUACUGACUCCUGCCAUCCACUCCUGAAAGAUGCAAAAAUUGACAGAAAUAAUGUGAUUCACUGUGAAAGUAUUAAAAGUAUUUCCAUUGCAUUAUAUUAAUAUUAUAAGCCAAAAAUAAAAUUAGAAAUUGUUCAUUAAAUAAAUUAAUAAAUAUAUAAUAUAUAUUUUUAUAUUGUGGUAAUAAUACAAGUUAACUUUUUUUGAUAAUACAAGUUAACUUUUUUUAUUAUUUCAUUUUUUGUUACAAGACUAAAAAUAUACAUAAAUAAUAUAAUAAUAAUAAUUAAUAAUAAUAAUAAUAAUAAUAAUAAUAAAAUAAUAAUAAUCGUAAACUAUUAUAAAUAUUUUCCAUUCAUUGGUAUAUUAUUUAAAAAAAAUUUCUUUACAGGCACUUCCUCCUCCUGGCUGGUCACAGCAUUAUUAUUAUUAUUAUUAUUAUUAUUAUUAUUAUUAUUAUUAUUAUUAUUAUUAGUAGUAGUAGUAGUAGUAGUAGUAGUAGUAGUAGUAGUUGUGGUUGUGGUGGUGGUGGUGAUAGUGGUGGUAUAUAGUGGUUGUGGAAGUACUAGUUCAAAGUAGCAUCAAUAGUAGUAGUAGUAAUAACACUUAAUAGGAACAUUCUAAGGUUCUGUCUUUGCAACACACACACACACACACACACACACACACACACACACACACACACACACACACACACACACACACACACACACACACACACACCCCUAUUUCUCUCUCUCUCUGACUCCUGCCAUCCACUCCUGAAAGAUGAAAAAAUUGACAGAAAUAAUGUAAUAGUAGUAAUUUACUAGUUUACUAGUAAUGAAGUACUAGUUGAAAGUAGCAACAAUAGUAGUAGUAGUAACAACACUUAAUAGGAACAUUCUAAGGUUCUAUCUUUGCAAAAACACACACACACACACACACACACACUCUCUCUCUCUCUCUCUCUCUCUCUCUCUCUCUCUCUCUCUCUCUCUCUCUCUCUCUCUCUCUCUCUCUCUCUCUCUCACAACAUCUCCCUCACUGUCACACACAAGAACUACCAAAAACCGACCCCAAAUCAAACACACAACACAACAGAUCAAUUUUAAUCCUCUCAUAGCCUCUCCCUGAGCCCCCCAACACUCCCCUGACCCCUCAACAGCCCCAAACAUACCCUGACACUCUUCUCUCAACUGUAUGGCCUGUUUCAGCUUGUAUAAUGGCAGGUCAAGUUGGGCAAUGCAAGUGCAUGCUGGAAGGAAGCUGUCAUCUGCUGGCCUUUAGAUUAUCAACUUGGGAGCCUGGGUGUGUGUUUGUGUCAAAGAGAAUCAGUUUGAGUGAGUAGUGAGACGGGGUUUUUGAGUAUGUGUGGGUAAAAGAAGGGGUUUUGUAAAAGAGAGAGAGAGAGAGAGAGAGAGAGAGAGAGAGAGAGAGAGAGAGAGAGAGAGAGAGAGAGAGAGAGAGAGAGAGAGAGAGAGAGAGAGAGAGAGAGAGAGAGAUGGAGUAUUGCGCGCACACACACACACACACACACACACACACACCAGUAUGUCCCCCACCGUAUGUUGAUGAACCCACAGUCACUCUCCACAGCCUUUCACAUUAGAGAGAGAGAGAGAGAGAGAGAGAGAGAAUGUUACUGUUUGUGAGAGAAUUAAUUACUAUUAUUAUUAAUAAUAAUAUUAUGUUCAAAAUGUAUUAUUUAUAUUUUCAUUGUUUUCAGAAGUGAUAGAAAGAAGGAAGAGGAGAAGAUAGAUGAUAAUAAGGAA